UCCAUAGCGUCUCACGCAUUACAUCGUGCAGCCUUCUGCUCACAAUUUGUGCUGCUUUGAAAUGGACACCGUGUCCGAUUGCAAUGCAUCACCCGAAGAGUACCCGGUUUCUCAGUCCGAUCUUCGGAAUGACGAAUGCCAUGUUCCUGUGGACGCUGGGCUACUAGAAGAAGCAUGCGGCAGCAAAAUGGAUGCUAGCGAAAUUGGGCAACCUACGACCGUUCGAUGUAAGCGGAGCUGCUCUGUUAUCGAGAAUGGUCGAAGUGUGAGACAGAGGACGUCCUCACCACGACGUAAUACCAGAAACUCAUCAACGGAAAGGACUGCGGCGUUACGUGCCAGGGGCAACACAGGCCAGGGAAGAGCACUGGAUCUCCGCGAGCGGGCACCUCUAACCCGAACAGGCGUAAGAGAAGUCGAAGUACCAGUUGACGUUAUGGAAGACGCACUCUUCGAAGCUCUGGAAUUGUUUAUGGGCAUAUUCGCCCGGGAAUUGCUGAGACAGAUGAACCAUUUGUCGGCCGCCACGGAUGCUGCUUAAGGAACCUACGUCGACUUCGGCGUUCCAUGAUGGUGUCAGAUUCAAAAUUGAAAUGAAGCAGUGUGUCCUAAUGACCCUGUCAAAGUAUGUCUGCAACCCUCAUUGGUAAUGUCGGGCAUUACAGCAACGUUCACAAAGAACGCGACUUACUAAUAUCGAGUGACCUGGUCAAAAUAUUCGGGUUCCGUCACAUGUUUCGACACUUGAGAGUACUGAUAGUGGCGAAAACCAAGAAAAGGCGAUAUGAAGGGAUUCUUUCACAGGAAGCACGUGGAAGGCUAACGCACUCCUGUCUUUCAUCGAUUUGGAGCCUGGCUCCGUCAGCUGUCCCGCUCUCUUUCUGCACCAGAUCAUGUAGUCCAUCACACUCGCUCUGCUUCCCUUUGGGUCGCAUGGCACUAUGCUGCAAGCGCAUGGUGGCGCUGCAGUAUUUCUCCUGCCACGAUAUUGCGCCUCCUUAUCGCCAACGCCGUAUAUAGUUGCAUGACCAACUCCCUUCUUAAGUUGAACAAGACUAUAAUAUAUUUGACAGGCUCUCGUACUUUCUUUACCUUGUCUUGGCUUGGAAAUGCGAUUCUAGGGUUUCAUUUGCAUAUAAAAAUUCAUAAAUUAAUUUCUUUACGCUGGUGCGUGUUUCAGGAUUUUUUUGAACGUGGAAUGGCUUUCAAUUUGGAUAGUUUCUUAUUCUAUUUUCCCGGUUUUGCCCGAUAUACCCUAAUUAAAGCGACCCUGACCAGAAGUUGUGGGAGCGCUUUCGUACUUGCAGUCGAUAGAGCACCCAACAAGGACUCGCCAUGCGAAAAUUCACGCAUUAAAACCCCACGGUUUCUCUAAACUCUAAUUUUAAACAUUCGACUUCAUCCGAGUGCAACACGUUUAGCGUCAAACCAAGAAAACAUACGUUUAUAUAGUAUAUUCACCCUGGCCCGCCAUCAAAAUGACGUCAACAUGAGGGCCACUGGCAACAUCCACAAUUGGCUCAAACCUGUCACAUGGUCACAGAAUACCCUGUCAGUUCCCUUUAUGAAAUGGCAUUUAUAUGUUAAUAUGUUUUUGUUACAGAGUCUCAAAAAGAAAAAUAUACCCUGCAUUUAACACAUGCAGUAGGUUCUACGAUUGCCUUUUCAAUAUGCGUUCUGUUGUCUUGCGUUCCAUAUGGUUCCGUAUCCGGCCAGCUGUAAUGGCUGCCAUAUGACGAGGUUGCGAACUUGUGUGAUUCCCGGCUCAUCCUGCCUUUUUCGGGUCAUUGUAUUUGGUGUUGGGGUUGUUCCCCAUAUUCUGAACGUUUCACCUAUCAUUGCGGCGUACUGUUCUUGAUCUGCUGCGAAGCAACGAACCGCUACGGCAGUCACUUGCCUUAGCGAAAUUCUGUCUGCUGCAUAUCAAAGGAGAUUGGGACCUGAUGAUGUACUGCAAAUGCUGAAGUUGAAUUCUUUGAACCUUCAUCUAUAGAAACCAAGUGUGCUCUCGUGUGGUUCUGAGGGAAAACCAGAUUCAACAAGGUUAGCACAUUUAUUUUUCAUUUCCAAGUCUACCUACCCAGACCCAUGCAAGUGCAUCCGAUCAUUCUCGUAGAUGCUCUGUAACACGUAUGCUUUCUUACGUAUACCACAGAACCCCCGUUAUACUUUAUGUGAUCCAUCUGAUGGCUCCUGACUAGGUUAUGCUGCUCUGAAGCAUUGAGAUGACAAAAGAUCAUGGGGGCUGCACCUCUGCUUUCCAAAGAUGAAUCAGUCAUCCCACACUGUGCUUACUGGCUUUGUAUCAAGUCUGACAAAUCCGACAGACCUGGACUGCCGUUUUCAAGGAAGUUUGAAAUAUAAAGCAUCCCUUAUGCACCUGCAUUCCAAUUAAGAUCUGUGUUACAAGAAUGACAGACCACUCAACAGCGAUGAACAUUUGAAGGUGGAAGCAGUGGAAGUGCUGGAACGAAGAUGCCUUAAUCUGUGUGAAAGGUGCUUUGUAUGUGCCUGAGCCGUGGGCACAGGUCACAAGCUAAUUUCUUCCUUCAGAAGAGGUGUCAACUAUGCUCUUUCUAUCUACUAACCAGCUCCACAGUUUAAGGUUCCCUGUAAACAAAUGGAGCACAUCAUAUACCAGCACGUUGUUAACCAUGUUGAGUCUAUCAAUUUCUUUUUUGUUUUAAUUCGAACAUGGCUUUAGAAAAGGGUAUUUAGACAAAACUAACAUAAUUCGGUCACAGCAUUUUAAACUGUCUUGAUUUCUGGGUUUACGUAGUGAGUUUACGUAGUGGGUUUACUGGGUUGUGAGGGCUUUUGACACUGUGCUUUAUGCUUGCUUGUUGGCCAAACUAGCCUCAUUAAAAUUUGAUCCUGCUACCAUUAACUGGAUAUGCGGUUUCUUGACUAACCGCAACCGUGCCAACAAUUCGUGAGUAGAACCUAUCAUGUCGCCACCAUGCAGCAUUUGUCACGUUACAUUUGCAUCACAUUUUAAUCUAGUGUGAAGCAAGGCCUUUAGGUGAUCGGUCUUGUAUAAUUACACGCCCCUCCAUUAUGUAACACCACACGGUUCUUCAACCUAUGACAGAUAAAUAAAUGUAUUGUAUUGUAUAAAUAU
This is a long non-coding RNA of Ornithodoros turicata, 3121 nucleotides long. RefSeq lists it as uncharacterized. The transcript is spliced from 3 exons. The record is from RefSeq and is a predicted model, not a curated record. NCBI's taxonomy places the organism in Eukaryota, Metazoa, Arthropoda, Arachnida, Ixodida, Argasidae.